This 71-nucleotide transfer RNA is filed under the name Loxodonta africana (African savanna elephant). It matches the Rfam family "tRNA". Rfam says of the family: Transfer RNA (tRNA) molecules are approximately 80 nucleotides in length. Their secondary structure includes four short double-helical elements and three loops (D, anti-codon, and T loops). The record is from Rfam by way of RNAcentral. Lineage: Eukaryota; Metazoa; Chordata; Mammalia; Proboscidea; Elephantidae.
ACGCUGGUGGUUUGGUGGUAGAAAUUUCGCCUUCCAAGCGGGAGACCCAGGCUUGAUCCCUGGCCGGUGCU